RNAcentral lists this ribosomal RNA (253 nucleotides) under uncultured bacterium. Its description in RNAcentral is "partial 16S ribosomal RNA". It matches the Rfam family "Bacterial small subunit ribosomal RNA", at positions 524 to 776 of the family's 1533-position model. The record is from RNAcentral.
UACGAAGGGGGCUAGCGUUGUUCGGAAUUACUGGGCGUAAAGGGCGCGUAGGCGGUGGAUCAAGUCAGGCGUGAAAGCCCCGGGCUCAACCUGGGAACCGCGCUUGAGACUGGUGCGCUAGAGUUCGGGAGAGGAUGGUGGAAUUCCCAGUGUAGAGGUGAAAUUCGUAGAUAUUGGGAAGAACACCGAUGGCGAAGGCAGCCAUCUGGACCGACACUGACGCUGAGGCGCGAAAGCCAGGGGAGCAAACGGG